RNAcentral lists this ribosomal RNA (480 nucleotides) under Rhodosporidiobolus odoratus. RNAcentral describes it as "partial large subunit ribosomal RNA". It matches the Rfam family "Eukaryotic large subunit ribosomal RNA", at positions 124 to 615 of the family's 3401-position model. The record is from RNAcentral. Lineage: Eukaryota; Fungi; Basidiomycota; Microbotryomycetes; Sporidiobolales; Sporidiobolaceae.
GGCACUUUCAGUGUCCGAGUUGUAAUCUCUAGAAGUGUUUUCCGCAUUGGACCGCACACAAGUCUGUUGGAAUACAGCGGCACAGUGGUGAGACCCCCGUAUACGGUGCGGAUGCCCAAUGCUUUGUGAUACACUUUCGAAGAGUCGAGUUGUUUGGGAAUGCAGCUCAAAUUGGGUGGUAAAUUCCAUCUAAAGCUAAAUAUUGGCGAGAGACCGAUAGCGAACAAGUACCGUGAGGGAAAGAUGAAAAGCACUUUGGAAAGAGAGUUAACAGUACGUGAAAUUGUUGGAAGGGAAACGCUUGAAGUCAGACUUGCUAUUCGGGGCUUGCUCCGAGUUGCAGGCCAGCAUCAGUUUUCUGGGGUGGAAAAUCACGGUUAGAAGGUAGCAACUUCGGUUGUGUUAUAGCUUUCCGUUGGAUACAUCCUGGGGGACUGAGGAACGCAGUGUGCUUUUAGCAGGAGCUUCGGCUUCAUCACA